CCUACGGGAGGCAGCAGUGGGGAAUAUUGGACAAUGGGGGGAACCCUGAUCCAGCGACGCCGCGUGAGUGAAGAAGUAUUUCGGUAUGUAAAGCUCUAUCAGCAGGGAAGAAAGGAAUGACGGUACCUGACUAAGAAGCCCCGGCUAACUACGUGCCAGCAGCCGCGGUAAUACGUAGGGGGCAAGCGUUAUCCGGAUUUACUGGGUGUAAAGGGAGCGUAGACGGUUACGCAAGUCUGGAGUGAAAGGCGGGGGCCCAACCCCCGGACUGCUUUGGAAACUGUAUAACUGGAGUGCCGGAGGGGCAAGCGGAAUUCCUAGUGUAGCGGUGAAAUGCGUAGAUAUUAGGAGGAACACCGGUGGCGAAGGCGGCUUGCUGGACGGUAACUGACGUUGAGGCUCGAAAGCGUGGGGAGCAAACAGGAUUAGAUACCCGUGUAGUC
RNAcentral lists this ribosomal RNA (443 nucleotides) under uncultured bacterium. RNAcentral's name for it is "partial 16S ribosomal RNA". It matches the Rfam family "Bacterial small subunit ribosomal RNA", at positions 338 to 795 of the family's 1533-position model. The record is from RNAcentral.